This 168-nucleotide microRNA precursor is filed under the name Pelobates cultripes (western spadefoot toad). Lineage: Eukaryota; Metazoa; Chordata; Amphibia; Anura; Pelobatidae. The record is from RNAcentral.
GCAGACACAUUCCAUCCAAUCAGUAGCAGACCCUCCCUCCCAGACCCUCCCACCUCCUGGACAGCAUCCAUUUUACAUUCAUUGUGAAGCUGCAUUCUUAGUGAGCUGUCCAGGAGGUGGAAGGGUCUGGGAGGGAGGGUCUGCUGCUGAUUGGCUGGAAUGUGUCUG